UCAAAGGGCAGGCUGCACUUUUGGCUGGUGGCCAAGGUUCUGGAGGCAGCCGGUGAGGACCAGGCAUGCAGUGCGAACCGCUCGGGGCACCGGACAGCAUCCACUUCCCGCGCACCCACGAAGAGGGCAAUAUAAGAACUGGGCACUCAGCACGAUUUGCAAUUCAUGGGAGUUCUGGAAUUUUGAAUUUCAGAGGUUCUAGAAUGCUGGAACUUGCACCUUGGUGGUGUUCUAGAACUCUCAGGGAUACUGGAUUUCUAGAACUACAAAAGGGUCCUGCGUGAGGGGACAGAUCUCGCGGACUUUAGAGUUUCUCUCUGCCACCACUUAACUUUGAAGCUCCGUGAUGAUGUUGUGGGGCCCUUGGGGCCGCUGAAAUGUCUGGGCAGGGAAGAAAAAUAUCUGUAGAGUUCUGCGUCUUCCAGACAAUUGCUCUAUCUGUGUCUGUGUCUGUCUGUGACUCUGUCUGUGUAGCUGUCUGCUUGUCUCUCUCGGAUUCGGAGCUGACAGAAUUCAUAUCAGAAGAGUGAACGCAGGGACAUCUGUGUGCGGAAUGACUGUGCUGCUCGAACCUGCCAAUCGCUCCUGGCACGAGCUGGAAAACCUCUUGGCUGCCUCUCUUCAGGAGUAAAUUUGAAGAUCUAAGAAAUCACAGUCCUCCAUGUGUGCAAAGGAAGACCUAAAAGUGUUGAACCUAAGGGCAUAGCAAGAAGGUCUAGUUAUGCGUGAAGAAUUCCUGAACUGGGCCGGGUGCGGUGGCUCAUGCCUGUAAUCCCAGCACU
This 782-nucleotide long non-coding RNA is filed under the name Homo sapiens (human). RNAcentral describes it as "HSALNT0389650". Lineage: Eukaryota; Metazoa; Chordata; Mammalia; Primates; Hominidae. The record is from RNAcentral.